Molecule: ribosomal RNA, 468 nt
Filed under: uncultured bacterium
Lineage: Bacteria
Description: partial 16S ribosomal RNA
Rfam family: Bacterial small subunit ribosomal RNA
Source: RNAcentral
GACGAACGCUGGCGGCGUGCUUAACACAUGCAAGUCGAACGGAAAGGCCCUGCUUUUGUGGGGUGCUCGAGUGGCGAACGGGUGAGUAACACGUGAGUAACCUGCCCUUGACUUUGGGAUAACUUCAGGAAACUGGGGCUAAUACCGGAUAGGAGCUCCUGCUGCAUGGUGGGGGUUGGAAAGUUUCGGCGGUUGGGGAUGGACUCGCGGCUUAUCAGCUUGUUGGUGGGGUAGUGGCUUACCAAGGCUUUGACGGGUAGCCGGCCUGAGAGGGUGACCGGCCACAUUGGGACUGAGAUACGGCGCAGACUCCAACGGGGGGCAGCAGUGGGGAAUAUUGCACAGUGGGCGGAAGCCUGAUGCAGCAACCCCGCGUGCGGGAUGACGGCCUUCGGGUUGUAAACCGCUUUCGCCUGUGACGAAGCGUGAGUGACGGUAAUGGGUAAAGAAGCACCGGCUAACUACGUG